AGUCGACGGCGCGCGGGGCAACCUGGCGGCGAGUGGCGAACGGGUGAGUAAUAUAUCGGAACGUACCCAGAAGUGGGGGAUAACGUAGCGAAAGUUACGCUAAUACCGCAUACGAUCUACGGAUGAAAGUGGGGGACCUUCGGGCCUCAUGCUUUUGGAGCGGCCGAUAUCUGAUUAGCUAGUUGGUGAGGUAAAGGCUCACCAAGGCGACGAUCAGUAGCUGGUCUGAGAGGACGACCAGCCACACUGGGACUGAGACACGGCCCAGACUCCUACGGGAGGCAGCAGUGGGGAAUUUUGGACAAUGGGCGCAAGCCUGAUCCAGCAAUGCCGCGUGAGUGAAGAAGGCCUUCGGGUUGUAAAGCUCUUUUGUCAGGGAAGAAACGGCUGGGGCUAAUAUCCUCGGCUAAUGACGGUACCUGAAGAAUAAGCACCGGCUAACUACGUGCCAGCAGCCGCGGUAAUACGUAGGGUGCAAGCGUUAAUCGGAAUUACUGGGCGUAAAGCGUGCGCAGGCGGUUUUGUAAGUCUGUCGUGGAAGCCCCGGGCUCAACCUGGGAAUUGCGAUGGAAACUG
This 576-nucleotide ribosomal RNA is filed under the name uncultured bacterium. RNAcentral's name for it is "bacterial SSU rRNA". It matches the Rfam family "Bacterial small subunit ribosomal RNA", at positions 60 to 635 of the family's 1533-position model. The record is from RNAcentral.